RNAcentral lists this ribosomal RNA (253 nucleotides) under Bacteroides uniformis. RNAcentral describes it as "partial 16S ribosomal RNA". It matches the Rfam family "Bacterial small subunit ribosomal RNA", at positions 524 to 776 of the family's 1533-position model. RNAcentral also lists the same sequence under 1 other name. Lineage: Bacteria; Pseudomonadati; Bacteroidota; Bacteroidia; Bacteroidales; Bacteroidaceae. The record is from RNAcentral.
UACGGAGGAUCCGAGCGUUAUCCGGAUUUAUUGGGUUUAAAGGGAGCGUAGGCGGACGCUUAAGUCAGUUGUGAAAGUUUGCGGCUCAACCGUAAAAUUGCAGUUGAUACUGGGUGUCUUGAGUACAGUAGAGGCAGGCGGAAUUCGUGGUGUAGCGGUGAAAUGCUUAGAUAUCACGAAGAACUCCGAUUGCGAAGGCAGCUUGCUGGACUGUAACUGACGCUGAUGCUCGAAAGUGUGGGUAUCAAACAGG